Molecule: ribosomal RNA, 441 nt
Filed under: uncultured bacterium
Lineage: Bacteria
Description: bacterial SSU rRNA
Rfam family: Bacterial small subunit ribosomal RNA
Source: RNAcentral
AAUAUUGCACAAUGGGCGCAAGCCUGAUGCAGCCAUGCCGCGUGUAUUGAAGAAGGCCUUCGGGUUGUAAAGUACUUUCAGCAGUGAGGAAGGUGGGUAUGUUAAUAGCAUACUCAUUUGACGUUAGCUGCAGAAGAAGCACCGGCUAACUCCGUGCCAGCAGCCGCGGUAAUACGGAGGGUGCGAGCGUUAAUCGGAAUUACUGGGCGUAAAGCGCAUGCAGGUGGUUUGUUAAGUCAGAUGUGAAAGCCCGGGGCUCAACCUCGGAAUUGCAUUUGAAACUGGCAAACUAGAGUACUGUAGAGGGGGUAGAAUUUCAGGUGUAGCGGUGAAAUGCGUAGAGAUCUGAAGGAAUACCGGUGGCGAAGGCGGCCCCCUGGACAGAUACUGACACUCAGAUGCGAAAGCGUGGGGAGCAAACAGGAUUAGAUACCCUGGUAG